RNAcentral lists this transfer RNA (63 nucleotides) under Opistoplatys sp. HL-2013. Its description in RNAcentral is "tRNA-Thr". Lineage: Eukaryota; Metazoa; Arthropoda; Insecta; Hemiptera; Reduviidae. The record is from RNAcentral.
GUUUUAAUAGUUUAAUAAAAACAAUGAUUUUGUAAAUCAUAAUUAGUAUAACACUUUAAAACU